This is a non-coding RNA of Picea glauca (white spruce), 72 nucleotides long. The record is from Rfam. NCBI's taxonomy places the organism in Eukaryota, Viridiplantae, Streptophyta, Pinopsida, Pinales, Pinaceae.
AGGGUGUUAUCUCAAUGGAAGAGAACCCGCCCUACUAGCAGAAGGUUGGUGGUUCGAUUCCAUCGUGCCCUG